This 440-nucleotide ribosomal RNA is filed under the name uncultured bacterium. RNAcentral describes it as "partial 16S ribosomal RNA". It matches the Rfam family "Bacterial small subunit ribosomal RNA", at positions 338 to 795 of the family's 1533-position model. The record is from RNAcentral.
CCUACGGGAGGCUGCAGUGGGGAAUAUUGCACAAUGGGGGAAACCCUGAUGCAGCGACGCCGCGUGAGUGAAGAAGCAUUUCGGUACGUAAAGCUCUAUCAGCAGGGAAGAAACUGACGGUACCUGACUACGAAGCCCCGGCUAACUCCGUUCCAGCAGCCGCGGUCAUACGUAGGGGGCAAGCGUUAUCCGGAUUUACUGGGUGGAACGGGAGCGUAGACGGCGAGGCAAGUCUGAAGUGAAAGGCGGGGGCCCAACCCCCGGACUGCUUUGGAAACUGUAUGGCUGGAGUGCAGGAGAGGUAAGUGGAAUUCCUAGUGUAGCGGUGAAAUGCGUAGAUAUUAGGAGGAACACCAGUGGCGAAGGCGGCUUACUGGACUGUAACUGACGUUGAGGCUCGAAAGCGUGGGGAGCAAACAGGAUUAGAUACCCGGGUAGUC